AUUGAACGCUGGCGGCAUGCCUUACACAUGCAAGUCGAACGGCAGCACGGGUGCUUGCACCUGGUGGCGAGUGGCGAACGGGUGAGUAAUACAUCGGAACAUGUCCUGUAGUGGGGGAUAGCCCGGCGAAAGCCGGAUUAAUACCGCAUACGAUCUACGGAUGACAGCGGGGGACCUUCGGGCCUCGCGCUAUCGGGUUGGCCGAUGGCUGAUUAGCUAGUUGGUGGGGUAAAGGCCUACCAAGGCGACGAUCAGUAGCUGGUCUGAGAGGACGACCAGCCACACUGGGACUGAGACACGGCCCAGACUCCUACGGGAGGCAGCAGUGGGGAAUUUUGGACAAAGGGCGAAAGCCUGAUCCAGCAAUGCCGCGUGUGUGAAGAAGGCCUUCGGGUUGUAAAGCACUUUUGUCCGGAAAGAAAUCCUUGGCCCUAAUACGGUCGGGGGAUGACGGUACCGGAAGAAUAAGCACCGGCUAACUACGUG
Molecule: ribosomal RNA, 486 nt
Filed under: uncultured bacterium
Lineage: Bacteria
Description: partial 16S ribosomal RNA
Rfam family: Bacterial small subunit ribosomal RNA
Source: RNAcentral